Xylaria nigripes is the source of this 72-nucleotide non-coding RNA. The record is from the annotation of a GenBank genome assembly. Lineage: Eukaryota; Fungi; Ascomycota; Sordariomycetes; Xylariales; Xylariaceae.
GGCUUCGUGGCCCAAUGGCAAGGCGUUUGACUACGAAUCAAGAGAUUCUGGGUUCGACCCCCAGCGAGGUCA